RNAcentral lists this ribosomal RNA (755 nucleotides) under uncultured bacterium. RNAcentral's name for it is "bacterial SSU rRNA". It matches the Rfam family "Bacterial small subunit ribosomal RNA", at positions 8 to 755 of the family's 1533-position model. The record is from RNAcentral.
AGAGUUUGAUCAUGGCUCAGGAUGAACGCUAGCGGCAGGCUUAACACAUGCAAGUCGAGGGGUAGCAGGAAAAAGCUUGCUUUUUCGCUGACGACCGGCGGACGGGUGCGUAACGCGUAUGCAACCUACCUCUUACUGGGGAAUAGCCCGGAGAAAUUCGGAUUAAUGCCCCAUAGUAUUUUGGUCUCGCAUGAGAUUAAAAUUAAAGGUUACGGUAAGAGAUGGGCAUGCGUCCCAUUAGCUAGAUGGUAAGGUAACGGCUUACCAUGGCAACGAUGGGUAGGGGGCCUGAGAGGGUGAUCCCCCACACUGGUACUGAGACACGGACCAGACUCCUACGGGAGGCAGCAGUGAGGAAUAUUGGACAAUGGACGCAAGUCUGAUCCAGCCAUGCCGCGUGCAGGAAGAAUGCCCUAUGGGUUGUAAACUGCUUUUAUUUGGGAAUAAACCCCCCAACGUGUUGGGGGCUGAAGGUACCAAAAGAAUAAGCACCGGCUAACUCCGUGCCAGCAGCCGCGGUAAUACGGAGGGUGCAAGCGUUAUCCGGAAUCAUUGGGUUUAAAGGGUCCGCAGGCGGACGUAUAAGUCAGUGGUGAAAGCCUACAGCUUAACUGUAGAACUGCCAUUGAUACUGUACGUCUUGAAUUCGGUCGAAGUGGGCGGAAUGUGUCAUGUAGCGGUGAAAAUGCAUAGAUAUGACACAGAACACCGAUAGCGAAGGCAGCUCACUAGGCCUGAAUUGACGCUCAGGGACG